CAGGCUUAACACAUGCAAGUCGAGCGGCAGCAUCAUCAAAGCUUGCUUUGAUGGAUGGCGACCGGCGCACGGGUGAGUAACACGUAUCCAACCUGCCGACAACACUGGGAUAGCCUUUCGAAAGAAAGAUUAAUACCGGAUGGCAUAGUUUUCCCGCAUGGGAUAAUUAUUAAAGAAUUUCGGUUGUCGAUGGGGAUGCGUUCCAUUAGGCAGUUGGCGGGGUAACGGCCCACCAAACCAACGAUGGAUAGGGGUUCUGAGAGGAAGGUCCCCCACAUUGGAACUGAGACACGGUCCAAACUCCUACGGGAGGCAGCAGUGAGGAAUAUUGGUCAAUGGACGAGAGUCUGAACCAGCCAAGUAGCGUGAAGGAUGACUGCCCUAUGGGUUGUAAACUUCUUUUAUACGGGAAUAAAGUGAGCCACGUGUGGCUUUUUGUAUGUACCGUAUGAAUAAGGAUCGGCUAACUCCGUGCCAGCAGCCGCGGUAAUACGGAGGAUCCGAGCGUUAUCCGGAUUUAUUGGGUUUAAAGGGAGCGUAGGCGGGUUGUUAAGUCAGUUGUGAAAGUUUGCGGCUCAACCGUAAAAUUGCAGUUGAUACUGGCGACCUUGAGUGCAACAGAGGUAGGCGGAAUUCGUGGUGUAGCGGUGAAAUGCUUAGAUAUCACGAAGAACUCCGAUUGCGAAGGCAGCUCACUGGACUGCAACUGACACUGAUGCUCGAAAGCGUGGGUAUCAAACAGGAUUAGAUACCCUGGUAGUCCACACAGUAAACGAUGAAUACUCGCUGUUUGCGAUAUACAGUAAGCGGCCAAGCGAAAGCAUUAAGUAUUCCACCUGGGGAGUACGCCGGCAACGGUGAAACUCAAAGGAAUUGACGGGGGCCCGCACAAGCGGAGGAACAUGUGGUUUAAUUCGAUGAUACGCGAGGAACCUUACCCGGGCUUAAAUUGCAUUUGAAUAUAUUGGAAACAGUAUAGCCGUAAGGCAAAUGUGAAGGUGCUGCAUGGUUGUCGUCAGCUCGUGCCGUGAGGUGUCGGCUUAAGUGCCAUAACGAGCGCAACCCUUAUCUUUAGUUACUAACAGGUCAUGCUGAGGACUCUAGAGAGACUGCCGUCGUAAGAUGUGAGGAAGGUGGGGAUGACGUCAAAUCAGCACGGCCCUUACGUCCGGGGCUACACACGUGUUACAAUGGGGGGUACAGAAGGCAGCUACCUGGUGACAGGAUGCUAACCCCAAAAGCCUCUCUCAGUUCGGAUCGAAGUCUGCAACCCGACUUCGUGAAGCUGGAUUCGCUAGUAAUCGCGCAUCAGCCAUGGCGCGGUGAAUACGUUCCCGGGCCUUGUACACACCGCCCGUCAAGCCAUGAAAGCCGGGGGUACCUAAAGUACGUAACCGCAAGGAGCGUCCUAGGGUAAAAC
RNAcentral lists this ribosomal RNA (1420 nucleotides) under uncultured organism. RNAcentral's name for it is "16S ribosomal RNA". It matches the Rfam family "Bacterial small subunit ribosomal RNA". The record is from RNAcentral.